ACGCUGGAGCAGGAAGUCGGCCUGUGGCCCGCUAUGUUCGUGAGGGCGCGUCUCUUGGCACCCCUGUAGUCGCUAUGUUUCCCAUGCCCGUGGCAGGCCUGAGAGGUUAUGUUUGCGGGGGGUGCUUUUUUUGUAGCUUCUGUGUUCGCCAUAUUUGAAAGGGGUAGACGGCCAUGUUCGUCAUGGCCAUGAACGGCUCUUCCCUUGGUGCACCUGUGGCCGCCAUGUUUGAGCGGGGAAAGCCAGGGGUCUGUGCAGGGAUGCCGCAGGACGCGAGAACCAGCCAAGACCUAUGGCCCCUGCAGCCACCGAGGGCUCGAGAGCGCCCCCGUGGACUUGGCUGGGCCCUUCUUGGUGACAUCCAGGAAUGCGGCUGAGCGUGGGUGUUGACCUCGCUGUUUGCUGGAAUGUUUGGGUUCUUGGACCACGUCAGUGACGGCUGUGUCACCAUGGCCUCGCUGUCCCCAGGAAAACCUAACGUGCACCUCGCGCUUGUCCUCUGGGACUCCCGUCCUCCUCCUUUGUCUGACCCCCGAGAGGCUUACCGUUUCCCCAGGGCAGCCCUGGCUGUGGCCCUUGGCCCUGCUCCAGGCGGCCACGUCAGUGUCCUCCCUCAGCGCUCCCAACAGGUGGGAGGCCUCUGCGAUGGCCACCCUUGACUCCUAAACACCCCAGAAAGGGAAGAGGUUUAAGAGGAACCUUGACUCCCGCCAUUCUGCACAGUCGUGGGUCCCUCCUCCACCCAGGGCCCUCAACGGGAUUUCUGUCCACACCCCCAGCCAGCGACCCCUCCCAGUUCCUGCAGCUGGAGCGACCCUCUCUCCUGAACAUUCGGGCACCUGCGUCUCUCACCGCAGCCAGAGGGCUGGAGCAUCUUCGGUCAACUCGCCAUCCCUGCCACAGCUGGAGGCUACGUGUCCCAGAACCUACCUUGCUGGGAUGGGGGUUGGGGUGGCAGAUGCUGAACGCAUGUGAGGUCUGGGGGAGGACAAGUGGAGCUGGGAUGUGUGGGAGGUCCUGGUGGCCACCGUGAGGAUGGUCAUACCCCAUAGCUUUGUUGGUGCUGUGGCUGUAGCAGGCCCAGUGGCUCCGCCGAGCCUCCCUAGCACCAGUGCCCAGUGAAGUGUGGGCAGCUGGACAUAGGUGGCCUCAGUUCCUGGGACUCCCCCAAAGCUCUGGUUUCCCCCCUGCUUCCAGGCUUCAGGUGGAUGAGUUAGUGACCCCAACUCCAGACCUCCCUCCCCCAGCCACCCCCACAGUUGUAAAAACCCUCAUUCUCAUAUGGAACCCCUUUCCUGAAAUCCAUUGAGUGACUGCUUUUUUGAGUGAAUCUGGACUGGGCCACAUGAUGAUCGCUGCACAGAGCAGCUCAGCUCCUCUGUUUCAGCCUCCCUGACUUCACAGCAGGCUCUGGGCAUCAUCUCCGUGUCAUCCUAAGGCCACGGGCAGGGUUCCCACCAAACAGGAGAGCAGCUCUCCCGAGAGGAAGCCUUCUGAUAGCCCUAGAACCAAGAGGAACCGUGUGGGAUUGGGUGGGGUGUUUACUGUGCACUCCUGAUGUCUCCUCCCAGUGAAGGACACCCACGUGGGACAUUGUGGCCCCUGGCCCUCCCUCCCUCCCUCCCCUCGGUGGCAGAGAGAACUUCCUGGUGGGUGACAGCCCAUGGUCCACCCUUGCCGGGUGGAUUCAGGCAAAAUAUGCCAGGCUGUGUGCUGAAGGCAUCCCAUCUCUUCCUCAUCUCCUCUCGGCUGGAUCGGGGUGAGGCAGCGGGUGGUGAGUGUGUCUGUCCCACCAGCUCAGCCUCCAGCUGGUCUGCUCCGGGGCAGGAGCCCACCUGGCUCUCCUGCAGAGCUGCAUGGCCUGCCUUGCCUCACCCGUGACAACAGAGACUUUGGUUCUCCAUCUGCAGACGCAUUUGUCUUGUUUCUUAUUCGGUCCAGAACUUGGGUGGGAAGAAGGGUGAUGUUAUUUGGGUCCCCUCAAGACCUUGACAACAGAUAGUUUUUAAAAUCACAUUUUAAAGCCGCCAACUUUCUCUCCUCCACUUUGGUAUUUCCCUGAUUUUUAAACAGAAUGUCGGCUCUGGAGGCAGAAAGCCUGGGCUUGGAUCUGGGCCCUGCCACACAGUAGCUAUGUGGCCACGGAAUGCAUAGCUCCCGGGUCUCCGAUCCCUACAGUAAAGUACAGAUAAAAAUACUUUUCAUUGAUGUGUUUGAAAUUGAAUGAGAUAGUUAAUGAAUGAGUAAGUGCUCUGCAAACUCCAGAGCGGGGUGCGCGUUCUGAUCUGUUUCAUAGAAUCUGACACGUACCCUUUCCCACCCCAGCGUCUCUGAAUUGGGAUGCAUCUGACAGCAAGUGUGGCAUCCGGGCUGCAGUUGCCGUUGUCUACUCACAUGUGAAUUAAAAAAACAAUCUCAGCAUAUGAAAUCUCUAAUCGCGUGUGAACUUGGUGGUUAUUUCUGGUGCCAUGUGGAUAACUGCAGCCUCAACACCCCAGUCCACAAACCACGUACGGACCAACUGAGGAAGGAGUAGGGGUUCUUGUUGUUGCAGAAAACCCUCCCUCAACUUGUUCUAGAAGAUGCCAGCAUUCACACUUGGAGUGGGCAUCAGCAGCUUGGAAGACACAGCAGUGGGCCCCUCUUAGCAGGAGCGCCCCGUCUCAUGGCUCCUGAUGACGACCCAGAGGGUGAUGCUGCGUGGGGGCUCACGGACGUUGGCACUGUGUGUCGGGGGUGCUUAGGUGAAGGGGGCUCUGAUGGUGAGGACAUUCAGAAAUAACAGAGAUUGGACAGGUGCAGUGGCUCACACCUGUAAUCCCAGCACUUUGGGAGGGAAGCCGAGGCGGGUGGAUCACUGGAGGUCAGCCUGGCCAACAUGGUGAAACCCCGUCUCUACUAAAAAUACAAAAAUUAGCUGGGCGUGGUGGCACGUGUCUGUAAUCCCAGUUACUCGGGAGGCUGAGGCAGGAGAAUUGCUUGAACCUGGGAGGCGGAGGUUGCAUUGAGCCGAGAGUGUGCCACUGCACUCCAGCCUGGGCAACAGAGCGAGACUCUUUGUCUC
This 3064-nucleotide long non-coding RNA is filed under the name Pongo abelii (Sumatran orangutan). RNAcentral's name for it is "lincRNA". The record is from RNAcentral. Lineage: Eukaryota; Metazoa; Chordata; Mammalia; Primates; Hominidae.